UCACUACAGAGGCAAUGCUGGGACGUGGUGCUGAGGAACGAGUCUUUCUUUCCAUGGAAGUCGCCAAGAGCUUCCCCGCCGUCUGUGGAAGCGUUCGCAGUGCCAGCGGAGGCGGGGCCCAGGCGGUCCCCAGGCGGUCCCGCCUCUGAGGGGAAGCGGAGGUGCGGCCCGGGUUUGUGGGUGUGUGGUGCUGCAGGUGGCGUGUGCGCCUAGCUGGGCUUCCCCUUACCAAGAGAUGGCACUCUUGCAUUUAGAGCAAGAAGCAGGAAUGCAAAACAUGAGGGGAUUCCAGAAUGAUGCAGUAUUAUGAAAGAGUGGCCCUGCAGUCUUUGUUCUGCAGAGAAGACUGGAAAUUCACCUUCAGGCUCAUGGUCUUGAAAGAAAAAUUAUGUGCUCCAGCACCAGUCAUGCCUAGAGUACAGCUGAUUGACAUCAUCAGACAGUAAGUAAAGCAGAACUAGUUUUUCUGACAUUCCAUUGCCUGGAACACAGUACAUCAAGUAAAAGUGGGAAAUAUCACAACAGGUGCUGGAAUGUUAUCACUGACAUACUUUACCUAGAUAUGACAGGCAAGU
This is a long non-coding RNA of Pogoniulus pusillus (Red-fronted tinkerbird), 575 nucleotides long. RefSeq lists it as uncharacterized. Lineage: Eukaryota; Metazoa; Chordata; Aves; Piciformes; Lybiidae. The transcript is spliced from 3 exons. The record is from RefSeq and is a predicted model, not a curated record.